Molecule: ribosomal RNA, 253 nt
Filed under: uncultured bacterium
Lineage: Bacteria
Description: partial 16S ribosomal RNA
Rfam family: Bacterial small subunit ribosomal RNA
Source: RNAcentral
UACGGAGGAUGCAAGUGUUAUCCGGAAUCACUGGGCGUAAAGCGUCUGUAGGUGGUUUGAUAAGUCAACUGUUAAAUCUUGAAGCUCAACUUCAAAAUCGCAGUCGAAACUAUCAGACUAGAGUAUAGUAGGGGUAAAGGGAAUUUCCAGUGGAGCGGUGAAAUGCGUAGAUAUUGGAAAGAACACCGAUGGCGAAGGCACUUUACUGGGCUAUUACUGACACUCAGAGACGAAAGCUAGGGUAGCAAAUGGG